This 487-nucleotide long non-coding RNA is filed under the name Setaria italica (foxtail millet). RNAcentral describes it as "long non-coding RNA (SITA_LNC004587)". Lineage: Eukaryota; Viridiplantae; Streptophyta; Magnoliopsida; Poales; Poaceae. The record is from RNAcentral.
UCUGAGGGGUUGAAGUAGUCGGCGACGUUGACUGUAAGCAGUGCGUGGCGUUGUUGGUUGGCUCGUAAAGCUGCCACCGAGCGCAGCAGACUCACAUGAGCUCCGACCCACACAAUCUGUCGUUGGGUGCUCGGCAAGUUAGCCGUACGGAUUACGGAAGAUCAUGCAUAUGCAUCAGGUGAGAUAAAUAACGUAUUAGAACCAAUAUCGACCAAUCACACGAAGGAGUACUUCAAAUCAGAUAUAUGAUAGGAAGAAGAAAAAUAAUAGAAAGAUUAUUUCCUUGUUCACAUAUACCUCUUGUAGAGGCAAACGUGGAGUCAACGUCAGGAAGCAGGGAUAUAGGAAUCCACCCGCACCCUUCGCGUGCUUGUCAAACCGAUGCAGAUGGAAUCAUGGCCGGCGGCAGUUUUGGUGUAGAUGAGUACAGCUAGAGCAGCAACUAUGAUUACAGAGAGCGUGUUGGUGGCAGCUGUUUGCCCCGUAC